RNAcentral lists this transfer RNA (69 nucleotides) under Aplidium conicum. Its description in RNAcentral is "transfer RNA-Ser (UCN)". It matches the Rfam family "tRNA". Rfam says of the family: Transfer RNA (tRNA) molecules are approximately 80 nucleotides in length. Lineage: Eukaryota; Metazoa; Chordata; Ascidiacea; Aplousobranchia; Polyclinidae. The record is from RNAcentral.
AAAGAAAUAGUUUAAUAGAAUUUUUAGUUUGAAACUAAAAGGUGGUCAUUGUUUUACGACUUUUCUUUG